UCAAGCUGCUGGACUUCGGCUGUGGAGAUCUGCUCAAGCGCUCGGCCUACAAAUACUUCGCAGGAACUAUUCAAUACGCUCCACCUGAGUGGUUCUGCAGACAGCGCUACCAUGCGGGUCCAGCUACGGUGUGGUCAGUAGGAGUGACCCUCUUCAACAUCCUGUGCAACCGUUUCCCCUUCGGAGGCUCACUGAGGGUCACGUCCAGGAGCAAACUGACCUUCCCCAUAACUCUGUCAACAGAGGCAGUAGACGCAGAUGGAGAAGAGGAGAACACACACCGAACACACACUGAACAGCAGAUUCCAGCAGAAAACACACUCUGAUGCAGUAGUAAAGUCCCUCAUCAGAGACACUGACAUUCUCUAUAUGCAGAUCAUAGGAGUUACUGGAGCUGUUGGGCACAAAACUGAAGCGUGGAAACGUCUCCUUGAAGAGUGUUGAGCGAUCUAUUGACAGAGAUGGCUGAUUCUCAUGUGAGCAGUUUCUCAUCCAAAUAAUGUCUGAUCCAAAAGGUAAAGCGCAGUAGAGAGUGACGCUUUCUCCUGGUUUAACUCUCAUGUCCACUUCUGUCCCAAACACUUUCUGCUCUUCACACAACCAAACACCUGCAGAACAAACGCAAGAGUGUGUGUUAAAUCUCUAGCACAUCAUCAAGAAUACAUCAUGACAUUCAAACACAGAAAUAUUGACUCACACAGAAGUAUGAUGACUGUAAAUCUCGCUCACUCCAUCUGAGACUGUGAAUGUGAGGGUCUUCAGCUGCAGUGUGAAGGGUCCGCUUCAUUGUGGUGGGAGGGAUCUCUGUGGAAGAGCUCUGAAUCUUUAUGCUGUUGUUUUGUUUUUAGGGGUAUAAUCUGGUCUGUUUCCUCUCAUCUGUUCCUUUAAACACACUUUUAAAGCUCUUUUAGAUGUUCAAGUUUAAUUAUAAAAUGUAAGAGUGAACUCAGUUUCAUAAAUUGUUGGGACUUUUGUUUUGGACGAUGUGAUGUUUAAUGUUGUAAUGGAGAUGACCUGAAGUUUUGAGCGUCUUUAUGAGUUUCUUGUUUGGCAUCGUUCAUCUACAUGCUGAUUGUUUUCUUUGGCUUCUAAACCUCCAGAAUGAAUGUCUUUACUCAAGGUUUCUUUUGCUCUUGGUCUUUAAAAGUUGCUAGAAACUUAUUUUUGCUUUUGUCUGUGACCGCAAAGCUUUCCAUUCCAUUUGUGUACUCUAUACAAGCUCAAGUCACAACUAGUGCACUGACACAAUCACGAGGCUGUGGUUUCCUGUCUCAGCUUGUCUUAAAAUCCCAUGGUGAAACAAGAGCAAUCAUGGUUAGUUUUAUUAUAUCAGUUUAAUUUGAUUGAUUGAUUAAUUGAUUGAUGAAGUGUUUGUGCUAGUAUGGUGGGCCUGGUGAUAAUCUACAGACACUUUACUGUUAAAUGAAUAAUGUGUAUCAGAGUUACAGUGUGUAUUUGAUCAGUGUGAAUUUGACAUGAAAUGUGAAAUUUACUAAAUUGUAAACUCAUAAUCUGAAAAUGAAAAUGUCAAAUAUUUUUUUUUAACUUGAUCAAAACUCAUAAAUACAGAGACGUAAGCAUUUACAAGAGGACAGUGACAAAGGCCACUGGAAACAUUUGUGGUUUGGGUCGUACCCUAGAAAAACAAAGAGCAGGCUGGACUCUCUCCAUCACCAUAACUAGCACUUCAGUCACACAUGAAAAGCGCUUCUCACAUCCUGUGGCAUUUAACAGAAUAACUCUUGCACUAAAUGACUACAGUACAUUUCUACAUCAGUCUACUGUAAUGAUGGCUGAGUUCAGAAUCACAUACUGUACUUUCCUACUGUAUAGGACAGAUGGAAACAGGAUUUCUAAAGCACGAAUCUUGACAACAUUAAUGCUUGCUCUUUUUUUAUCAUUUAUGAUCAAGUAGCCUGGGUGAACUAUUAAGCUAAUAUUGUAUUUAGUACUGCUCAUCUGUAUAUUUUACACACUAUAAAUUUGAUUUGUCAUAGUUUUAUGCCGUUUACAUCAUAAACAACAGCAGAACUUUGUGUACCAGUUUGAGCUUGAAAAUGUUUGUGUUUACAGUAAAUUUUAUUAUUUGUUAUUAUGAGCACAAUCCCAUCAGUUUAUGAAUGAAGUAAAGUCUUAAUCCAAUCUUACUUAAAUCUGAACACAUCAUAUUUAU
This is a non-coding RNA of Danio rerio (zebrafish), 2173 nucleotides long. The record is from RefSeq and is a predicted model, not a curated record. Lineage: Eukaryota; Metazoa; Chordata; Actinopteri; Cypriniformes; Danionidae.